Molecule: unclassified non-coding RNA, 349 nt
Filed under: Hevea brasiliensis (rubber tree)
Lineage: Eukaryota; Viridiplantae; Streptophyta; Magnoliopsida; Malpighiales; Euphorbiaceae
Source: RNAcentral
ACAAAAAAAAGUUGAAAUUUUGGGGUUUAGGAGUAAGAGUUGAAGGAUUUAACGAUUUGGGGUUGUAAAAAGAGAGAUGAAUCCGAAUUGGGAGCUUCAGAAUUGUUGUAAUCGUGACCAAAAACUAUUUCUUGUUACCAUUGGUGUUUUCACUGUCGCCAUUCUUGUUUUAUGGAGGACAUUUCUUCUGACACCUUUCAAGCUCAUUACUGUAUUUCUUCAUGAAGCAAGUCAUGCUAUCGCUUGUAAGCUCACAUGCGGUCAGGUGGAAGGAAUGAAAGUCCAUGCCAAUGAGGGGGGAGUAACACAAACACGUGGUGGUGUUUAUUGGUUGAUCUUGCCUGCUGGA